RNAcentral lists this ribosomal RNA (1516 nucleotides) under Serratia sp. Nf2. RNAcentral describes it as "bacterial LSU rRNA". It matches the Rfam family "Bacterial large subunit ribosomal RNA", at positions 1 to 1552 of the family's 2925-position model. The record is from RNAcentral. Lineage: Bacteria; Pseudomonadati; Pseudomonadota; Gammaproteobacteria; Enterobacterales; Yersiniaceae.
GGGUUGUGAGGUUAAGUGACUAAGCGUACACGGUGGAUGCCUAGGCAGUCAGAGGCGAUGAAGGGCGUGCUAAUCUGCGAAAAGCGUCGGUAAGGUGAUAUGAACCGUUACAACCGGCGAUACCCGAAUGGGGAAACCCAGUGUGUUUCGACACACUAUCAUGUCAUGAAUACAUAGUGGCAUGAGGCGAACCGGGGGAACUGAAACAUCUAAGUACCCCGAGGAAAAGAAAUCAACCGAGAUUCCCCCAGUAGCGGCGAGCGAACGGGGAGGAGCCCAGAACCUGAAUCGGCUUGUGUGUUAGUGGAAGCGUCUGGAAAGUCGCGCAGCAAAGGGUGAUAGCCCCGUACACUAAAAUGCACAGGUCGUGAGUUCGAUGAGUAGGGCGGGACACGUGACAUCCUGUCUGAAUAUGGGGGGACCAUCCUCCAAGGCUAAAUACUCCUGACUGACCGAUAGUGAACCAGUACCGUGAGGGAAAGGCGAAAAGAACCCCGGCGAGGGGAGUGAAAUAGAACCUGAAACCGUGUACGUACAAGCAGUGGGAGCACCUUCGUGGUGUGACUGCGUACCUUUUGUAUAAUGGGUCAGCGACUUAUAUUUUGUAGCAAGGUUAACCGUAUAGGGGAGCCGUAGGGAAACCGAGUCUUAACUGGGCGAAUAGUUGCAAGGUAUAGACCCGAAACCCGGUGAUCUAGCCAUGGGCAGGUUGAAGGUUGGGUAACACUAACUGGAGGACCGAACCGACUAAUGUUGAAAAAUUAGCGGAUGACUUGUGGCUGGGGGUGAAAGGCCAAUCAAACCGGGAGAUAGCUGGUUCUCCCCGAAAGCUAUUUAGGUAGCGCCUCGUGAACUCAUCUUCGGGGGUAGAGCACUGUUUCGGCUAGGGGGCCAUCCCGGCUUACCAAACCGAUGCAAACUCCGAAUACCGAAGAAUGUUAUCACGGGAGACACACGGCGGGUGCUAACGUCCGUCGUGAAGAGGGAAACAACCCAGACCGCCAGCUAAGGUCCCAAAGUCAUGGUUAAGUGGGAAACGAUGUGGGAAGGCAUAGACAGCCAGGAUGUUGGCUUAGAAGCAGCCAUCAUUUAAAGAAAGCGUAAUAGCUCACUGGUCGAGUCGGCCUGCGCGGAAGAUGUAACGGGGCUAAACCAUGCACCGAAGCUGCGGCAGCGACGCUUAGGCGUUGUUGGGUAGGGGAGCGUUCUGUAAGCCGUUGAAGGUGGCCUGUGAGGGUUGCUGGAGGUAUCAGAAGUGCGAAUGCUGACAUAAGUAACGAUAAAGCGGGUGAAAAGCCCGCUCGCCGGAAGACCAAGGGUUCCUGUCCAACGUUAAUCGGGGCAGGGUGAGUCGACCCCUAAGGCGAGGCUGAAAAGCGUAGUCGAUGGGAAACAGGUUAAUAUUCCUGUACUUGGUGUUACUGCGAAGGGGGGACGGAGAAGGCUAGGCUAGCCGGGCGACGGUUGUCCCGGUUUAAGCGUGUAGGGGGUGUGACCUGGUAAAUCCGGUUGCAUA